RNAcentral lists this ribosomal RNA (828 nucleotides) under uncultured bacterium. RNAcentral's name for it is "bacterial SSU rRNA". It matches the Rfam family "Bacterial small subunit ribosomal RNA", at positions 28 to 897 of the family's 1533-position model. The record is from RNAcentral.
AACGAACGCUGGCGGCAUGCCUAACACAUGCAAGUCGAACGAGACCUUCCGGUCUAGUGGCGCACGGGUGCGUAACGCGUGGGAAUCUGCCCUUGGGUUCGGAAUAACUGGGAGAAAUUACUGCUAAUACCGGAUGAUGUCUUCGGACCAAAAAAUUUUCGCCCCGGAGUGAACCCGCUUAUCCUUAGGUAAUUGGUGGGGUAAUGGCCUACCCUGCCGACGAUCCUUAUCUGGCCUGAGAGGAUGAUCAGCCACACUGGGAGUGAGAAAGAGCCCCCACUCCGGCAGGGGGAAACCGUGGGGAAUAUUGGACAAUGGGCCAAAGCCUGAUCCAGGAAUGCCGCGUGAGUGAUGAACGCCUUAUCCUUGUGAGCUCUUUUAAUUUCAUGAUGUUGACCCUUUUGGAGAAAGGCUCCGGCUAUCUUAGUGCCAUCAACCGCGGUAAUACCGAGGGAGCUAGCGUUGUUCUAAAUUACUGGGCGUAAAGCCCGCGUUGGGAAUUUUCUCCAGCUCAGAGCUGAAAGACCGGGGCCUCAAACCCCGGAGCUGCCUUUGUAUCUAAGUAGCUUGAAACUCUGCAUAGGUCAGUGGAAUCUCCGAGUGUAGAGGUGAAAUUCUUAAUAUUCAGAAGAACACUAGAAUCCAAUGUGAAUCGAUUGAAUAAGUUAUGACACAGAGUGUAAAACCAUGUGGGAGAGCAAACUCGAAUUACAAACACUGGUUCUCUCGCGCACUAAACUAUGAUAGCUAGCUGGUCAGACACUUGGCUGCUUCGGUGCCGCCGCUAACGCAUUAGCUAUCCGCCGGGGGAGACUGUCGCACAUUAAU